RNAcentral lists this ribosomal RNA (388 nucleotides) under Crematogaster sewardi. Its description in RNAcentral is "partial 12S ribosomal RNA". Lineage: Eukaryota; Metazoa; Arthropoda; Insecta; Hymenoptera; Formicidae. The record is from RNAcentral.
UAAACUAGGAUAGAUACCCUAUUAUUCUAAAAUAAAAUUAAGAUAUUGGAGAUUAAAUGUAAAUCAUUAAAUUUAAAUAAUUUGGCGGUAUUUUAAAAAAUUAGAGGAAUCUGUUGAGUAAAUGAUAAUCCACGAUAGGAGGGUCCUAAUAUAUUUUUAUAUAUUGUUGUUUGAAUAUUAGUUUAUAAGGAUUUAAUAGAAAGUUAGAAUUAUAGAGUAAUUCAAAUCAAAAUGUAGAAUUAUUAGGUUUAAAUGGAUUACAAUUAAGAUUAUUAUUAGAACUUAGAUUUUAAAUAUCAAAGUAAAAGAGGAUUUAAUAGUAAGAUUAUAGAAUAAUAUAAUUUGAAUAAUAUAUAAGAUAUGUACAAAUUGCGGUUCUUUUCAAUAA